UGGGUUGAGGCUCAGUGGUAGAGCACUUGCCUGGCAUGUGUGAGUCAUUGGGUUCGAUUCUUAACACCACAU
Molecule: transfer RNA, 72 nt
Filed under: Urocitellus parryii (Arctic ground squirrel)
Lineage: Eukaryota; Metazoa; Chordata; Mammalia; Rodentia; Sciuridae
Also listed under: 2 other names
Description: Spermophilus parryii (Arctic ground squirrel) tRNA
Rfam family: tRNA
About the family: Transfer RNA (tRNA) molecules are approximately 80 nucleotides in length. Their secondary structure includes four short double-helical elements and three loops (D, anti-codon, and T loops).
Source: Rfam by way of RNAcentral